AGUCAUACGCUCGUCUCAAAGAUUAAGCCAUGCAUGUGUAAGUAUAAAUAUAUUACUUUGAAACUGCGAACGGCUCAUUAUAUCAGUUAUAGUUUCUUUGAUAGUCCCUUACUAUUUGGAUACCCGUAGUAAUUCUAGAGCUAAUACAUGCGUAAACACUCAACUUUUGGAAGAGUGGUAUUUAUUAGAUUGAAACCAACUCGUUUCGGCGAUGUAAUGGUGAUUCAUAAUAACUUUGCGAAUCGCACGGCUUCUGCCGGCGAUGGAUCAUUCAAGUUUCUGCCCUAUCAGCUUGGAUGGUAGUGUAUUGGACUACCAUGGCUUUAACGGGUAACGGGGG
Molecule: ribosomal RNA, 340 nt
Filed under: uncultured eukaryote
Lineage: Eukaryota
Description: SSU rRNA
Rfam family: Eukaryotic small subunit ribosomal RNA
Source: RNAcentral